UACGUAGGUGGCAAGCGUUAUCCGGAUUUAUUGGGCGUAAAGGGAACGCAGGCGGUCUUUUAAGUCUGAUGUGAAAGCCUUCGGCUUAACCGGAGUAGUGCAUUGGAAACUGGGAGACUUGAGUGCAGAAGAGGAGAGUGGAACUCCAUGUGUAGCGGUGAAAUGCGUAGAUAUAUGGAAGAACACCAGUGGCGAAAGCGGCUCUCUGGUCUGUAACUGACGCUGAGGUUCGAAAGCGUGGGUAGCGAACAGG
Molecule: ribosomal RNA, 253 nt
Filed under: uncultured bacterium
Lineage: Bacteria
Description: partial 16S ribosomal RNA
Rfam family: Bacterial small subunit ribosomal RNA
Source: RNAcentral